RNAcentral lists this long non-coding RNA (237 nucleotides) under Salvia miltiorrhiza (redroot sage). RNAcentral's name for it is "long non-coding RNA (SMIL_LNC013552)". The record is from RNAcentral. Lineage: Eukaryota; Viridiplantae; Streptophyta; Magnoliopsida; Lamiales; Lamiaceae.
UCCUCUUCAUCCUCUUUAACAAAUUUCUGCAAAUUUCAACAACAAGUUUCAGAUUUCCAAAUUUUCAAGUAUUCUCAAAAUUUCCAAGUAUUCCCAGAAUCAGAAACCAUUUAAUGAACAACAAUUUUCUACACAAGAUCUGUCCAAUUUUUGAAACAAAUUUUCUACACAAAAUUUUCAAGUAUUCCCGGAAUCAUCACCAUUUAUACUCCUUCAUGCCCAAUUAUUCAAGGCGAG